UACGUAGGGUGCGAGCGUUAAUCGGAAUUACUGGGCGUAAAGCGUGCGCAGGCGGUUUGUUAAGUCCGCUGUGAAAGCCCCGGGCUCAACCUGGGAAUGGCGGUGGAAACUGGCGAGCUAGAGUGUGGUAGAGGGGGGUGGAAUUCCACGUGUAGCAGUGAAAUGCGUAGAGAUGUGGAGGAACACCGAUGGCGAAGGCAGCCCCCUGGGCUAACACUGACGCUCAGGCACGAAAGCGUGGGGAGCAAACAGG
This 253-nucleotide ribosomal RNA is filed under the name uncultured bacterium. Its description in RNAcentral is "partial 16S ribosomal RNA". It matches the Rfam family "Bacterial small subunit ribosomal RNA", at positions 524 to 776 of the family's 1533-position model. The record is from RNAcentral.